CUCUAUUUCUGACAAAAGAUUUUAGGGCAAAGGAG
Molecule: non-coding RNA, 35 nt
Filed under: unclassified sequences
Source: RNAcentral